Molecule: long non-coding RNA, 1023 nt
Organism: Nymphaea colorata (pocket water lily)
Lineage: Eukaryota; Viridiplantae; Streptophyta; Magnoliopsida; Nymphaeales; Nymphaeaceae
Exons: 2
Source: RefSeq, a predicted model, not a curated record
CUUUUCAUCUCUCCUGUAGCUUCUUUCAUGGGCCUUUUCAGCUUUCUUUUGACGUGCAUUUAAAUGGUGCACUUGGCUGGAUGAAGCCCAUCGAUCCUGGGUAGGCAGGAGGUUAACAGUACACUGCCUAGAAAAAGAAGCCCAAACCCUCCCCUUAUUCCCCUAUCUUUAGGCCUUGUUUGAUAGCCUGGAUAAAAUGAGAGGAGGGGUGAAAUUUCACCCGCCCUACUAAAAACGCAUCAAACAAGUUCACUCGUUUCCCGUAAAAGGGAGCGGGUGAAAUUUCACCCGCUCGACACCGUCGCAUUUCACCCCUCUUCCUCCCUCUGCAGCUCCUCCGCGUUUCAACAUUCCUGCCUAGACUUGCCGUUCGAGCUCCCCAGCUCUGUCACCUUCUUACCGUCGCACUAGAGGCGUCGCCGCCGUGACCGUCGCACCAGAGGCGUCGCCGUCCUCUGCCGGGAAGAGGGAUGCAGAGACAGGGCAGCAUCCGCCACCGCCACGGUCGCCGCUCCGCUCGUCCGUUGGUUUGGGCAUUUGUGGAGGGGAUUUUGCGUGUUUGCCUUGAUAUUGUGCUUUGCUCUUCAGAUUGCAAAAAAUGCGUUUGGAUGUUGUUAUUCAUUUGUUCAUGGCAUUCGGGCAUCUGGUCAUCUGGGCAUUUGGGCACUUGAAUUAAAACAAACGUCGUCAGUGCGCUUUCAAUGGAGAUUUUUGUUCUGUUAGUGUGUUCCUGCUUCCGAAAGCACAAGUGAAGGGUCAUGAUCCUCUAGUGGGCUAACCUGCAGUAUGUUUGCCCUGUAUCUACAUAAAAAUUCCAUUUUGUGAUGGGCAUUCAUGGAACCCUUCAUAAAAUUGAGAUGGGUGUUUCUCAGCAAGUAUUACCAAUUCUUGUUUUGUGUUGGACGUGAACGUUUUUUACAUUGCUUGAUAUCUGUACUCUUCAGCAGAUGUUGAGACUACUGCUAUCUCAGCUAGAACUUACCAAUUUUUGUUGAAUUGGGCCAAUUGGCUUUGAUUGCAUGA